Molecule: ribosomal RNA, 482 nt
Filed under: uncultured bacterium
Lineage: Bacteria
Description: partial 16S ribosomal RNA
Rfam family: Bacterial small subunit ribosomal RNA
Source: RNAcentral
AUUGAACGCUGGCGGCAUGCUUUACACAUGCAAGUCGAGCGGUAACAGGCCGCAAGGUGCUGACGAGUGGCGAACGGGUGAGUAAUGCAUCGGAACGUGCCCAGUCGUGGGGGAUAACUACUCGAAAGAGUAGCUAAUACCGCAUACGAUCUAUGGAUGAAAGCGGGGGACCGUAAGGCCUCGCGCGAUUGGAGCGGCCGAUGUCAGAUUAGGUAGUUGGUGGGGUAAAGGCUCACCAAGCCAACGAUCUGUAGCUGGUCUGAGAGGACAACCAGCCACACUGGGACUGAGACACGGCCCAGACUCCUACGGGAGGCAGCAGUGGGGAAUUUUGGACAAUGGGCGCAAGCCUGAUCCAGCAAUGCCGCGUGCAGGAAGAGGGCCUUCGGGUUGUAAACUGCUUUUGUACGGAACGAAACGGCUCUGGUUAAUACCCGGGGCUAAUGACGGUACCGUAAGAAUAAGCACCGGCUAACUACGUG